Molecule: ribosomal RNA, 463 nt
Filed under: uncultured bacterium
Lineage: Bacteria
Description: partial 16S ribosomal RNA
Rfam family: Bacterial small subunit ribosomal RNA
Source: RNAcentral
GAUGAACGCUGACAGAAUGCUUAACACAUGCAAGUCUUUGGCGAAGCUGUGCUUGCACAGCCUAGCCAAGGCGGACGGGUGAGUAACGCGUAAGGAACUUGCCCUGCAGUCAGGGAUAACAGACGGAAACGACUGAUAAGACCUGGUAAAGUCAGGCGGACUCAUGUCCAGCCUGAUGAAAAGAGAUGCUGCAGGAGAGCCUUGCGUCCUAUUAGCUUGUUGGUGGGGUAACGGCCCACCAAGGCGAUGAUAGGUAGCCGGCCUGAGAGGGUGGACGGCCACAAGGGGACUGAGAUACGGCCCUUACUCCUACGGGAGGCAGCAGUGGGGAAUAUUGGACAAUGGGGGCAACCCUGAUCCAGCAAUUCUGUGUGCACGAUGAAGGUUUUCGGAUUGUAAAGUGCUUUCAGCAGGGAAGAAAAAAAUGACGGUACCUGCAGAAGAAGCGACGGCUAAAUACGUA